UCUAGAGCUAAUACAUGCAGUUUCAGGGUGGUGUAACAGCCAUCCUUUGCAUUUAUUAGAAGAAAACCGACUACGGUGGUGAGGUCGAAAGCUUCGCCUCCGUAAGGUGAAUCUAGAUAACUUUGCAGAUCGUAUGGCCUUGAGCCGGCGACAUUUCAAUUGAAUUUCUGCCCUAUCAACUUGUUGGUAAGGUAGUGGCUUACCAAGGUUUCAACGGGUAACGGGGAAUCAGGGUUCGAUUCCGGAGAGGGAGCCUGAGAAAUGGCUACCACAUCCAAGGGCGGCAGCAGGCGCGCAAAUUACCCAAUCCAGAUUCUGGGAGGUGGUGAUGAGAAAUACUAGAUGGUUUCCCUAUGGGAUGCCAUACUGGAAUGGACGUAACUCAAGAAAUUCGAUGAGUAACAACUAGAGGGCAAGUCUGGUGCCAGCAGCCGCGGUAAUUCCAGCUCUAGUAGUGUAUCGUAAAGUUGCUGCGUUUAAAAAGCUCGUAGUUGGAUUACGCAGCAUGAAUUAGUCGAUUGGCGCUGUGGUACGCAAAAUCUGUGUGGAGAUCAACCCUUUCGUGGUUAAUCCCGGAGGGGCGGGUUUUCACAUGG
This 596-nucleotide ribosomal RNA is filed under the name Myxozoa sp. OUTC 3. RNAcentral's name for it is "SSU rRNA". It matches the Rfam family "Eukaryotic small subunit ribosomal RNA", at positions 157 to 738 of the family's 1831-position model. The record is from RNAcentral. Lineage: Eukaryota; Metazoa; Cnidaria; Myxozoa.